Molecule: transfer RNA, 70 nt
Filed under: Escherichia coli E704
Lineage: Bacteria; Pseudomonadati; Pseudomonadota; Gammaproteobacteria; Enterobacterales; Enterobacteriaceae
Description: partial tRNA-Val
Rfam family: tRNA
About the family: Transfer RNA (tRNA) molecules are approximately 80 nucleotides in length. Their secondary structure includes four short double-helical elements and three loops (D, anti-codon, and T loops).
Source: RNAcentral
GGGUGAUUAGCUCAGCUGGGAGAGCACCUCCCUUACAAGGAGGGGGUCGCGUUCGAUCCCGUCAUCACCC